AGGCAUCUUUUUGUUUUUAAAAGACCUUCUUACGAAGGUAUGCUUAAAGAGGGGCUUGCGCCACAUUAGUUAGUUGGUAGAGUAAAAGCCUACCAAGACGAUGAUGUGUAGCUGGACUGAGAGGUUGAACAGCCACAUUGGGACUGAGACACGGCCCAAACUCCUACGGGAGGCAGCAGUAGGGAAUUUUCGGCAAUGGAGGAAACUCUGACCGAGCAACGCCGCGUGAACGAUGAAGUAUUUCGGUAUGUAAAGUUCUUUUAUUGAAGAAGAAAAAGUAGUGGAAAAACUAUAUUGACGUUAUUCAAUGAAUAAGCCCCGGCUAACUAUGUGCCAGCAGCCGCGGUAAGACAUAGGGGGCGAGCGUUAUCCGGAAUUAUUGGGCGUAAAGGGUGCGUAGGCUGUUAGAUAAGUCUAUAAUUUAAUUUCAGUGCUUAACGCUGUCUUGUUAUAGAAACUGUCUUGACUAGAGUGAGAUAGAGGCAAGCGGAAUUCCAUGUGUAGCGGUAAAAUGUGUAAAUAUAUGGAGGAACACCAGAAGCGUAGGCGGCUUGCUGGGUCUUUACUGACGCUGAGGCACGAAAGCGUGGGUAGCAAACAGGAUUAGAUACCCUGGUAGUCCACGCCGUAAACGAUGAGUACUAAGUGUCGGGGUAAAACUCGGUACUGAAGUUAACACAUUAAGUACUCCGCCUGAGUAGUACGUACGCAAGUAUGAAACUUAAAGGAAUUGACGGGACUCCGCACAAGCGGUGGAUCAUGUUGUUUAAUUCGAAGAUACACGAAAAAUCUUACCAGGUCUUGACAUACUCUGCAAAGCUAUAGAAAUAUAGUGGAGGUUAUCAGGGAUACAGGUGGUGCAUGGUUGUCGUCAGUUCGUGUCGUGAGAUGUUAGGUUAAGUCCUAAAACGAACGCAACCCUUGUCGUUAAUUGCCAGCACAUAAUGGUGGGGACUUUAACGAGACUGCCAAUUAAACAUUGGAGGAAGGUGAGGAUUACGUCAAAUCAUCAUGCCCCUUAUGAUCUGGGCUACAAACGUGAUACAAUGGCUGUGACAAAGAGUAGCUGAAACGCGAGUUUUUAGCCAAUCUCAAAAAAGCAGUCUCAGUUCGGAUUGAAGUCUGUAACUCGACUUCAUGAAGUUGGAAUCGCUAGUAAUCGCGAAUCAGCAUGUCGCGGUGAAUACGUUCUCGGGGUUUGUACACACCGCCCGUCAAACCACGAAAGUUAGCAAUGCCCGAAAGCAGUAGCUUAACUUCGCAAGAAGAGGGAACUGUCUA
Molecule: ribosomal RNA, 1281 nt
Filed under: Candidatus Phytoplasma trifolii
Lineage: Bacteria; Bacillati; Mycoplasmatota; Mollicutes; Acholeplasmatales; Acholeplasmataceae
Description: bacterial SSU rRNA
Rfam family: Bacterial small subunit ribosomal RNA
Source: RNAcentral